UUCCCUCUCUCUGCUCUCACGUCUCUCUCUCCCUCGCCUCUCUCACGCCGCCGUCGACAUGAGGAGCGCAAUGCGCCGUCUCCGCCCCGUGUUCUUCCUCUGUCCUCCCUUUCUCCAGCCCAAGCCACGACCACACCGCCGCGCCCGCCUUCUCCUCAUUGGGAACAAGCAGAGGAGGAGGAGCGUGGGCCGCAGAGACGACGAGGUGGCCGAGCUGCCCGUGGUGUCGUCGCCGUUCCUCAUGACUCAGCGGGCCGGAGGUGUGCCGGCCGCAGGAGGAGUGCGCGCUGGGGAUGUGGCGGGCCAAGGGUCGCUCGCCAGCGCCGCCCGCUGACCGUCAGAUCCGAGUGCAGCCUCUUCGACGACCUCCCGUGCACGCCACCGCUGGCGACGGUGAGGACCUCGCCCUCUGUUCCCCGGGGCCGUCCACUAUGCACCGUCAGUUCGACCAAGGAGCGACAGAGGCAGAGGCGCAGGGCGACCAGCGCCCCACGCAGGCACUAGAUGCGGCGCUCCUCCGUCUCUCCUCCUUCUGCGUCUGCUGCAGGAGACGAACAUACGUUGCUGGUCGCCGGCUUGGCCUGCAAGAGGAUGCUCUCCUGCUCUAACUUGCUCACAUGUUAGUGUUUCACCAAUGAAGAUGUAUAUUCAAGCCUCUGUCUUCAUAAACAACAACUCGUCCUCCCUUCCCCUUGGGACGUGCUGUUUGUGGAGAAGUCUGAGAUUCUGACUCGGGAAGUGAUUCUGAAAGCGAAUCAGAGAAGGUCGGCAGCGCAGCAAGACUUGCGAAGGUGCUUUGGCAAUUUUUUACUGGGUGAUCCUUCGGUUAAGGUAACUGAAGAUAGUUUACUGUUGAGUGAGCCCUUUAUAUUCUGGCGGAGUUACUGAGAAAGGAGGUAAAUGAAGCGCCAACUAUUACCAGCAAAAAUCAAUGUGGAGUUGCAGUUCCAUGCUGUCGUCAUCAUUCAGGGAUGGAUGACGAGCAGCUGAGUUUGCUGCCAUUGGAUUCAUUAAACGGGAGGUCAAUAUGGUUGGCUUCUGCACUAUGGACUUUGCAAAGGUAUAGUAGAUGUACUGAUAGUCUGAUACAUUUCUUCAACCUCGGCGCUUUACACGUUCGUUGUUUACUUCGAUUGAUGGCAGUUCAUUUUUUUUGACUUGGUGAACGUUCUCAUGGAACUGAAAGUUUCCAUAAAAGAUGGAUAUCUUCACUUCAUGCCUUACUUCUCUUGCAUAGAUUGGAUACUAAUUUUCAGGUGUUCAGGGAAAUAUUUUUGAACUGGUAUAUUUAUAUUUGUUUGUAGCAUACUAAGUUAAUCUAACUUGGCUUUACUUUAGCCUGCAUAAAGUUGGUAAAUGACAGUCUUUGCUUUAAUUUUCCUGAUUCAGAGGCAGGAACUAUCAUAUGAUGAUAUUCUCCUCAUAUUAUUUUCUUUGUUCUCCCUAAUUUUAAUGCACUACAGAAGGUUGGUUGUCUCCUCACAGAUUUUCAGACUGUUGAUGGGCAAAACGUUUCUAUGGAACACAAUUAUUACAACACCAAGAUCAGAUGCUCGGAUAGUUCUUGCUAUUGCUUCUUUAGGGGUCACACCUUUGCUAUUGCUUCAAGUUACCUAU
Long non-coding RNA from Triticum dicoccoides, 1617 nucleotides. RefSeq lists it as uncharacterized. The record is from RefSeq and is a predicted model, not a curated record. Lineage: Eukaryota; Viridiplantae; Streptophyta; Magnoliopsida; Poales; Poaceae. The transcript is spliced from 5 exons.